AGUAAGCUUGGAAGUAGCUAUCUUUUAAUGAAAGUGUAACAACUCAAUAGUCUAAUGGAUAAAAGGCAUCGAAGAUUAACGGGUCUGAAAUAUUUAACCUACAUUAUGAUAUGUAUACAUUUCUAUUUCUAAUAUAGAAAUGUAUAUGUAGGUAGCAGAACACUUAGUAUGAGAGUGAAGAAGUGUAUAAAUACAUUUUGGACUAUACUAAAGAGAGAAUGCUGGCAUGAGUAACGAUUAAGAAGUUAAAAUACUUCUCGCCGAACACGAAAGGGUUUUAUGGAAAAGGUAAUCUGCCAUAAUUUAUACGGUUUCUAAGGAAAAUAAACGAAUUGUUAUUUUCUGAUGAAGAAUAGAAAUCAUAGAGAAAGAAUCUUUCUUCUAGAAAAAGAUUUCUACUAUAAAUAGUAACCGUACCUGAAACCGACACAGGUUCGUGGGUAGAGUAUACUAAGGCGUAGAGAUAAGGCUAGUGAAGGAACUCGGCAAAAUGCUUCUGUAAGUUCGACGAUAAAGAAGAAGUUAUAAUUUAGAAUCAUCUUAUGAUUCUUUUAUAACUUGUCACAAAAGUGAGGGCUUCGACUGUUUACUAAAAACAUAGCAACUUGCUAAGACGAAAAGUACUUGUAUAAGUUGUGAACUCUGUCCAAUGCCAUUUGUUUAAGGAAGGGAAUCUUCUUCCGGGAAGUGUUCCUGACUGAUGCGGUGGUGAAUGACGGUCUUAACUAUAAGGAUCUGAAAGUAGCGAAAUUCCUUGGCCAUUAAAUGUGGUCCUGCAUGAAUGAGGUAACGCGGCCCUGCUGUCUCCACUAGCUUCUCAGUGAAAUUGAAUUAGCCGUGCAGAUGCGGUUUGCCUUCCGGAGGACGCGAAGACCCUAUGCAGCUUUACUGUAUUCUGAUAUUGUUAUUCGUGAUAUAUAGUGUAGAAUACAAGGGAGUGUAACAUCCGUGAAAUACCUUGAUAUAUUGAAUUGAAUAACUUAUUUCUGCUAAGAAAGACAGUAUCAGAUGGUCAGUUUUACUGGGGCGGUAGCCUCUAAGAAAGUAUCAGAGGCCUUCAAAGGUAUACUUACAUUGGUCAGAAACCAAUAGAUAAUUGUAUCUAUCAAAAUGUAAUGAUAAAAGUAUGCUUUACUGAAAGAUUGAUAGAUCGAUCAGUUACGCAAGUAGGAUAUAGUGAUCCGAUGAUUCAGAAUGGAAUGAUCAUCGCUCAAGAAAUAAAAGUUACGCUAGGGAUAACAGGUUUAUCGUUUGCGAGAGUUCACAUUGUCCAAACGGUUUGACACCUCGAUGUCGACUCUUCUCAUCCUCCAGGUGUAGUAGCUUGGAAGGGUUCAGCUGUUCGCUGAGUAAAGAGGAACGUGAGUUGGGUUUAAUACGACGUGAGUCAGUAUAGAUUCUAUCCUCGGAAGGGAACAAGAAUAGAAGAAGAACCUCUAAUUUGUACGAAAGGACCGUUAGAGAGAAUUCCAUGGUGUAUCUAUUGUUGUAGAAAUAUGGCACAGUAGAGUAGCUACAAUUCUAAAAGAUAAAUACUGAAAGCAUAUCAAGUGUGAAACAGAUCUUCUGAUAUUCUCAAAUAAGAAAAAGACUAUUUCUAGUCUAGGAUGUGAAUGUAUGUUAAACAUUUCUAAUGUAUUGAUCAAACUUAAUUGUACCAUAUUGUUCACCUAUUUUU
This 1678-nucleotide ribosomal RNA is filed under the name human metagenome. RNAcentral's name for it is "bacterial LSU rRNA". It matches the Rfam family "Bacterial large subunit ribosomal RNA", at positions 1099 to 2925 of the family's 2925-position model. The record is from RNAcentral.